CCUACGGGAGGCAGCAGUGGGGAAUAUUGGGCAAUGGGCGCAAGCCUGACCCAGCAACGCCGCGUGAAGGAAGAAGGCUCUCGGGUUGUAAACUUCUUUUAUCAGGGACGAAGCAGGUGACGGUACCUGAUGAAUAACCCACGGCUAACUUCGGGCCAGCCGCCGCGGUAAUACGUAGGUGGCAAGCGUUAUCCGGAUUUACUGGGUGUAAAGGGCGGGUAGGCGGGAUAGCAAGUCAGAUGUGAAAACCAUGGGCUCAACCUGUGGACUGCAUUUGAAACUGUUUUUCUUGAGUGCUGGAGAGGCAGACGGAAUUCCUAGUGUAGCGGUGAAAUGCGUAGAUAUUAGGAGGAACACCAGUGGCGAAGGCGGUCUGCUGGACAGCAACUGACGCUGAGGAGCGAAAGCGUGGGUAGCAAACAGGAUUAGAUACCCCAGUAGUC
RNAcentral lists this ribosomal RNA (443 nucleotides) under uncultured bacterium. RNAcentral describes it as "partial 16S ribosomal RNA". It matches the Rfam family "Bacterial small subunit ribosomal RNA", at positions 338 to 795 of the family's 1533-position model. The record is from RNAcentral.